This is a long non-coding RNA of Micropterus dolomieu (smallmouth bass), 882 nucleotides long. RefSeq lists it as uncharacterized. The record is from RefSeq and is a predicted model, not a curated record. Lineage: Eukaryota; Metazoa; Chordata; Actinopteri; Centrarchiformes; Centrarchidae. The transcript is spliced from 2 exons.
GUGUUUUUUUCCUGUAUGUACAUUGAUUUAUUUACUUUAACACUGCAUAACAAUAAAACAUUAACUAAUUUGAAAAAAAAGAAAAACUUCUCAAGCACAAGCAUUUGAAGUUGUUGGUGUAACUUUCACUGGCAACAGCAACACCACUGGUACAUCCAAUAUAAUACAGCAAUUAAUAAAGCCACAUACGUAUGUAUACUACAAAUAUGCAUUAAAAAACCUUCCUAAUAUUUCAACUUAGAUACUUGUGGAAAGCAGAGAGCAUAAAUUAAAAAAAACAUAUAUGCUGCUGAUAUCAAUUUUAAAUGCUAUCAGCAGUUUUGCAAUAGUUAGCAUGGACUGGUGGCUGUUGCUGUGUACUAGAAGACAAAGACAACAAAGACAGACAGUGAGUCAAAACCUCAGACUUUAGAAAAAUCAAAGAAUGGAAGCAAACAUUUAAAACUUUGUAGAUAAAGAAAGUGUUAGACCCUCUGCUCUUCUGUAGGGAUUUCUGCUCUGUGUGCCUCUCUCUCCCUUCCCCCUUCCCCUGUCUGUGCUUUAUUGCAGGAGUGGAGUCAGGUGUGCGGGAGUCAGUUACCAGCUGCCAGCCAUCAGCCUCAUCAAGAUUACCCUGCUGGUCUGACUCCUGCCUCCGGUCCACUUCUGCCCAUGCACAUAUGCCCUGUUUACUGGAUUUGUGUUUGGAACCUAAGGACAAACUACCCCAAGCCAUGGACGAACAUGUUGGAUCUCUAGAGCCUGCUGGAUUCCUGUGCAGUUCCCCUACCUGGCCAAGCUCUGACCUGGACCUUAAGUGUCUUGUUAUUUGUUAAUUCCUUCCCUAAAUUCCACCCCUGCAACAUUUGAGUUUUCUGUCAAAAUAAACCUAUUUUCACCUGA